RNAcentral lists this transfer RNA (77 nucleotides) under Planctomycetota bacterium. RNAcentral's name for it is "Planctomycetes bacterium (freshwater metagenome) tRNA-Arg". It matches the Rfam family "tRNA". From Rfam's summary of the family: Transfer RNA (tRNA) molecules are approximately 80 nucleotides in length. Their secondary structure includes four short double-helical elements and three loops (D, anti-codon, and T loops). The record is from RNAcentral. RNAcentral also lists the same sequence under 1 other name. Lineage: Bacteria; Pseudomonadati; Planctomycetota.
GCGCCCGUAGCUCAGCCGGAUAGAGCAUCGCUUUUCUAAAGCGGCGGUCCCAGGUUCGAUUCCUGGCGGGCGCGCCA